This 291-nucleotide small RNA is filed under the name Cryptococcus neoformans H99. RNAcentral describes it as "Cryptococcus neoformans var. grubii H99 hypothetical RNA". Lineage: Eukaryota; Fungi; Basidiomycota; Tremellomycetes; Tremellales; Cryptococcaceae. The record is from RNAcentral.
UUUUCAUUAGCUAUCGGCAGCUAAUAAGCUUGAAAGGCUAAGAAGUCAAGUCACGCCCUGCUCGCUAUAUGGGAUCUUUUGAUUUUUUUCGAGCGUCAGGAUUAUUCGAGCACAGACUGUAAGAAGCCACAAGCCAUAAUAUCAGCUGCUGGUGAAGGAUCCACAUGCAGUUGAGUCUAUGGUUCCAUCAUAAUGAUCUCCUUCGGUCUGAUAGAUGAUGACAAUGAUUGAGGAGGGCGGUUUGGUUGAUAUUAUGCUGAAGCAUACAGAGAUGAUGGAUGAUAUUAUAUG